AUUGUGUAACAAGAAGAAUAAAGCCACUUAAGCCAGGCUUAAAAACAGGAAGUGAAGAAGCAGACUGAUAUUUCAGAAAAUGAUUAGAUAUUUUUGUUUUAAUUUUUCAAACUGUCCAAUUAUGCGUCGACACGUGUCCCAUUUUGAUUUGAGCCUAGAUGUGUAGCAUGAUUGAUAAGAGGUAAUUGCGCUUGCCCACAUUUGGAUUUGGGCCAGAGGACUACUGGGGUUGAUUGUUGGGAGGAUUUGCCAUUUGUGAGUCUUCAAUUAUUUUCUGUGCUUAUGUUAACUAGUUUUGGUUUUUGUCAAGUUUAAUUAUUUGAGCUGGUUGGGAUUUAUUGUUAUGUUUGAUACUGUAAUCAAAGGAAGAAGAAUUGGGAGACAUACAGCUAUUAGAUUGAUUCUGUUUUGGAAAAUAAAUAAAUAAAUGUUCACCUAUCUAAUUGGCUCUUAAUUUUAAGGAAAAUGCUAUGUGUACACAAUGGUGUACAAAUAGCAUUACACCCCCCUCACAUUGAGGAGGGCCCACACACACAAAAAUAUUCGUGGACCCCCUCUCCAUGUGAGAGGGGUGUAAUGCAUUGUGUACACCAUAAGGUGUAUACAUAGCAUUUCCCUAAUUUUAAAAUACGUGAGGUAUCCAACAUACUCGAACUAAAUGGAUUGAGGUAAACAAGAACAUUAACACAUUGAGAUGGUUUUCUAAAUUUGAAGUAAAUGAAAAAUGGUGUUUGUGUUGUGCAGCUACUCGCUAGCGGAAUGCGUUUGUAUAAUUUAUUGAUGUUCGAUUUAAUAGUCUAUAGGCUUGUUCUAGUUGGUAGGGGGCCUUCAAAAUUAGUCCGCAGAAAUGCAAUGCAAGAUUUCAGUUUUUGCAUUCCUUGAACUGUUGAACUGAAAUGCCGUCAUCAAUCAUUCUGAAAUGCCUCUCAAUCACAAUUAAUAUACAUUAGACGUUGACUGAUCAUUCCUUGUGUGAAAUAUGUUCCAAUAAAAGUCUCUUCAGCCUUGGCAAAACAAAUGAUGCCUGAAAAAAAAAAAAAACUCCGCUACUAAUAGCUGGCUGCUUUUACCGUCAGCUGUCCAUUUAGAAAUGGUGGCGAUUCCUACCUCACUUUGGUACAGGGCUAGUGGAAUCAAUGUUGUAGGUGCAUAUGUUGAAACUAUACGCAUCAAUGAUGGUCCUGAUAUAUCAUCCGCAUGCAUAUAUCUUUUUUUUUUUUUUUUUUUUUUUUUUAAUAUCCAGGUAUUCCAGCUUACACUAGACCAAAUCCUGGACCCCAAAGAUCCUUGUCCCUAGAACCUUGGAGGAGGUAAAUCGCGGGUUAUGCCUCAACUGGAUCACAGGUUCCCCCGACCGCCUGUACACUUCUGCGCACAAGAGAUCCUUCUCCAAAGUGAUUGCUUCAUACCAAAUAAAUCUGGCCGCAAGUUCCCACCAAGAUUCGAACCUCCACCUUGCCGCUGGAAACAAGACAAAUGUUGAUUGAUCCACCAAUUGAGCUGUACCCCGGGGGGCAUCUGCAUUUUGGUAAAUGUCUAGGUGAUGUGUCAUAUAUCUAUGGAUAGAAGAUUGGUCCUAAAGCAUAAAAACUAUCCAUAGAAGAUCGGUCCUACAUGGAUCGGGAUCAUUUUCAUCAAUGAACAAGUUUGAUGCUAUGCUACUUUCUGAUUCGUUCUGAUUACCAUUAGCUCCCUGAAUAGGACUUGGUGCCUCUAAGAAAUCGGAAGAAUUCUCUUCACUCUCUGCGCUUCCACUCAAAUAUCUAGGCUCAGACGUGCAGCCAAAGUCCUUAUCAUUUUCAUCAAUGAACGAGUUUUUUCUAUCCAUAGUAUUUUGGUAAUGUUGCUGGAAACUAUCCAUAGUUUUUUGUAUUUUGGUAAUGUUGCUGGAAAUUGUCAGCAGUAUUUGGUGAAUGAUACACAACCAUGACACGAUGUUCUUGUUUUUCUGUCCAAAUACAUCCCAAACAUUUGGUCGUUGGAAUUUUGCUUUAUGUAUCCAGUAAUUGCUUUUGUAUUUAUGUGGAUGGAUGUUGAAUGGUCUCAUUGAAUGGAUACUAGAAUUUGGCAAUUGGUAGCUUUCUUUCACUGCUGUAGUUAAUUUGCAAUGCAAUAUAGUUCAUUUUGAUACUAAUUUAGCUUUGUCUUUUGAACCUUUUAGAAAGCUUGUGUGUUCAAGAUAAGUGUGAUGCUUGUUUGAUUUGCCAGGAUAAUUCUUUUGUGGGUUUUAAAAUAU
Molecule: long non-coding RNA, 2236 nt
Filed under: Olea europaea subsp. europaea
Lineage: Eukaryota; Viridiplantae; Streptophyta; Magnoliopsida; Lamiales; Oleaceae
Source: RNAcentral